RNAcentral lists this ribosomal RNA (464 nucleotides) under uncultured bacterium. RNAcentral describes it as "partial 16S ribosomal RNA". It matches the Rfam family "Bacterial small subunit ribosomal RNA", at positions 28 to 507 of the family's 1533-position model. The record is from RNAcentral.
GACGAACACUGGCGGCGCGCCUAACACAUGCAAGUCGAACGAGCGAGAGAGCUUGCUUUCUUGAGCGAGUGGCGAACGGGUGAGUAACGCGUGAGGAACCUGCCUCAAAGAGGGGGACAACAGUUGGAAACGACUGCUAAUACCGCAUAAGCCCACGGUGCCGCAUGGCACAGAGGGAAAAGGAGCAAUCCGCUUUGAGAUGGCCUCGCGUCCGAUUAGCUAGUUGGUGAGGUAACGGCCCACCAAGGCGACGAUCGGUAGCCGGACUGAGAGGUUGAACGGCCACAUUGGGACUGAGACACGGCCCAGACUCCUACGGGAGGCAGCAGUGGGGAAUAUUGCACAAUGGGGGAAACCCUGAUGCAGCGACGCCGCGUGGAGGAAGAAGGUCUUCGGAUUGUAAACUCCUGUUGUUGGGGAAGAUAAUGACGGUACCCAACAAGGAAGUGACGGCUAACUACGUG